Molecule: small RNA, 410 nt
Filed under: Rattus norvegicus (Norway rat)
Lineage: Eukaryota; Metazoa; Chordata; Mammalia; Rodentia; Muridae
Description: uncharacterized LOC103693926
Source: RNAcentral
UUGAGGCGAGGCACGUCGCAGCUCCCUACAAUGCUGACAAAUUUCAUGUGAUGUUUGAUUCACUGGGAGGUUAGAUGUGAAAGUGGGGCUACUUCAGACCCAAGCACAUCUCUGUCAAGUGUCCUCCAAGGCCUCUUCUCUAGGGGUGUGUAGUGGUGAAAAGCCUGGUCGCAACCUUACAGCACUGGAGGAAUCACUGUGUCAAAACUGAUUUGGCAAGCAGACAAGCCUUUAAUGGUGAGCCUACCACAGCAUGGUGGCAGCCAAGUUUUUGCUGGCAGCAUUUUAAGAGAGUCCAAGACCCUCCUGAAACAGUACAGGCUGUUGCUGUUGUCCUUGGCAGUUUCCCAGAGGUUGAGGGUAAGUCCUCAUUGAUGGAGGUACAAUGUGCGUUGGACAUGGCAUGCAGG